RNAcentral lists this ribosomal RNA (200 nucleotides) under uncultured bacterium. RNAcentral's name for it is "partial 16S ribosomal RNA". It matches the Rfam family "Bacterial small subunit ribosomal RNA", at positions 328 to 539 of the family's 1533-position model. The record is from RNAcentral.
ACGCUCGACACCUACGGGAGGCAGCAGUUAGAAUAUUGGGCAAUGGAGGAAACUCUGACCCAGCAACGCCGCGUGAAGGAAGAGGGUUUUCGGAUUGUAAACUUCUGAUCUAGGGGAAGAAGGAAGUGACGGUACCCUAGGAGAAAGCCACGGCUAACUACGUGCUAGCAGCCGCGGUAAUCUGAGCGGGCUGGCAAGGC